This 491-nucleotide ribosomal RNA is filed under the name uncultured bacterium. Its description in RNAcentral is "partial 16S ribosomal RNA". It matches the Rfam family "Bacterial small subunit ribosomal RNA", at positions 29 to 507 of the family's 1533-position model. The record is from RNAcentral.
GUGAACGCUGGCGGUAGGCCUAACACCUGCAAGUCGAACGGCAGCACAGUAAGAGCUUGCUCUUACGGGUGGCGAGUGGCGGACGGGUGAGGAAUACAUCGGAAUCUACUUUUUCGUGGGGGAUAACGUAGGGAAACUUACGCUAAUACCGCAUACGGCCUACGGGUGAAAGCAGGGGAUCUUCGGACCUUGCGCGAUUGAAUGAGCCGAUGUCGGAUUAGCUAGUUGGCGGGGUAAAGGCCCACCAAGGCGACGAUCCGUAGCUGGUCUGAGAGGAUGAUCAGCCACACUGGAACUGAGACACGGUCCAGACUCCUACGGGAGGCAGCAGUGGGGAAUAUUGGACAAUGGGCGCAAGCCUGAUCCAGCCAUACCGCGUGGGUGAAGAAGGCCUUCGGGUUGUAAAGCCCUUUUGUUGGGAAAGAAAAGCAGCAGGUUAAUACCCCGCUGUUCUGACGGUACCCAAAGAGUAAGCACCGGCUAACUUCGUG